AUGUGGUUGUGGAACCCUCAAGCUAGAAAUGUGGAACUCUUUCAACUGGAUGCAGUCGGCGAGCCUGAUGACAAAGUAAUCAUUCUUCACAAUCUUUGCAAUCUUGCCAAGCUUCCAUGUGUUAUGAUCAAACACCUCGGUCACAUCUCCAAUGAUCCAUCUGCAUCUUGUCUGAUGAACAACAGCUGGUUGGUUUGGCCUGAAACCAUAGUCCCUCUGCACCGUGAUCGGAUCGGCCUCCCUAAAACUGUUUUUCAGCUUCAUGAUUCUACUCCUGCACAAUGGGAGGAAGUAACAACAAGGUCAAGAUAUGCACCAGCAAAGCAGCAGUUAGAACGAAAAGACAUAAAUAUGAUCUAA
Molecule: ribosomal RNA, 360 nt
Filed under: Triticum aestivum (bread wheat)
Lineage: Eukaryota; Viridiplantae; Streptophyta; Magnoliopsida; Poales; Poaceae
Description: partial small subunit ribosomal RNA
Source: RNAcentral